Molecule: ribosomal RNA, 491 nt
Filed under: uncultured bacterium
Lineage: Bacteria
Description: bacterial SSU rRNA
Rfam family: Bacterial small subunit ribosomal RNA
Source: RNAcentral
UAGUCCACGCCCUAAACGAUGCUAACUCGAUGUUUGUAUUUAUAUGAGCGUCCAAGGGAAACCGUUAAGUUAGCCACCUGGGGAGUACGUUCGCAAGAAUGAAACUCAAAGGAAUUGACGGGGUCCGCACAAGCGGUGGAGCAUGUGGUUUAAUUCGAUGAUACGCGAGGAACCUUACCUAGGCUCGAACACUAUUGGACAGCUGCUGAAAGGCGGUUUCCCUUCGGGGCUGAUAGUGAGGUGCUGCAUGGUUGUCGUCAGCUCGUGCCGUGAGGUGUUGGCUUAAGUGCCGCAACGAGCGCAACCCCUAUCCUUAGUUGCCAGCGAGUAAUGUCGGGGACUCUAAGGAGACUGCCUGUGUAAGCAGAGAGGAAGGAGGGGAUGACGUCAAAUCAUCAUGGGCCUUUAUGCCCAGGGGCGACACACGUGCUACAAUGGUAUGGGACAAAGGGGUAGCGAGCCAGUGAUGGGUAAGCCAAUCCCAAAAAACC